AGCGUAGGCUGUACGGUAAGUCAGAUGUGAAAGCCCACGGCUCAACCGUGGAAGUGCAUUUGAAACUGGCAGACUUGAGUAUCAGAGGGGAAAGUGGAAUUCCCGGUGUAGAGGUGAAAUUCGUAGAUAUCGGGAGGAAUACCGGUGGCGAAGGCGACUUUCUGGCUGAAUACUGACGCUGAGGCUCGAAAGCGUGGGGAGCAAACA
RNAcentral lists this ribosomal RNA (207 nucleotides) under uncultured bacterium. RNAcentral's name for it is "partial 16S ribosomal RNA". It matches the Rfam family "Bacterial small subunit ribosomal RNA", at positions 568 to 774 of the family's 1533-position model. The record is from RNAcentral.